RNAcentral lists this ribosomal RNA (253 nucleotides) under uncultured bacterium. RNAcentral's name for it is "partial 16S ribosomal RNA". It matches the Rfam family "Bacterial small subunit ribosomal RNA", at positions 524 to 776 of the family's 1533-position model. The record is from RNAcentral.
UACAGAGGUCUCAAGCGUUGUUCGGAUUCAUUGGGCGUAAAGGGUGCGUAGGCGGCGCGGUAAGUCGGGUGUGAAAUCUUGGAGCUUAACUCCGAAACUGCAUUCGAUACUGCCGUGCUUGAGGACUGGAGAGGAGACUGGAAUUUACGGUGUAGCGGUGAAAUGCGUAGAUAUCAGGAGGAACACCUGCGGUGUAGACGGCUUUCUGGACCAUUGCUGACGCUGAGACACGAAAGCGUGGGUAGCAAACAGG